AACGAACGCUGGCGGCAGGCUUAACACAUGCAAGUCGAACGCCCCGCAAGGGGAGUGGCAGACGGGUGAGUAACGCGUGGGAAUCUACCGUACCCUACGGAAUAACGCAUGGAAACGUGUGCUAAUACCGUAUACGCCCUUAGGGGGAAAGAUUUAUCGGGGUACGAUGAGCCCGCGUUGGAUUAGCUAGUUGGUGGGGU
Molecule: ribosomal RNA, 200 nt
Filed under: uncultured bacterium
Lineage: Bacteria
Description: partial 16S ribosomal RNA
Rfam family: Bacterial small subunit ribosomal RNA
Source: RNAcentral